GCGGCAGCACGGGUACUUGUACCUGGUGGCGAGCGGCGGACGGGUGAGUAAUGCCUAGGAAUCUGCCUGGUAGUGGGGGAUAACGCUCGGAAACGGACGCUAAUACCGCAUACGUCCUACGGGAGAAAGCAGGGGACCUUCGGGCCUUGCGCUAUCAGAUGAGCCUAGGUCGGAUUAGCUAGUUGGUGAGGUAAUGGCUCACCAAGGCGACGAUCCGUAACUGGUCUGAGAGGAUGAUCAGUCACACUGGAACUGAGACACGGUCCAGACUCCUACGGGAGGCAGCAGUGGGGAAUAUUGGACAAUGGGCGAAAGCCUGAUCCAGCCAUGCCGCGUGUGUGAAGAAGGUCUUCGGAUUGUAAAGCACUUUAAGUUGGGAGGAAGGGCAGKUACCUAAUACGUAUCUGUUUUGACGUUACCGACAGAAUAAGCACCGGCUAAC
Molecule: ribosomal RNA, 442 nt
Filed under: Pseudomonas mandelii
Lineage: Bacteria; Pseudomonadati; Pseudomonadota; Gammaproteobacteria; Pseudomonadales; Pseudomonadaceae
Description: bacterial SSU rRNA
Rfam family: Bacterial small subunit ribosomal RNA
Source: RNAcentral